Molecule: ribosomal RNA, 460 nt
Filed under: uncultured bacterium
Lineage: Bacteria
Description: partial 16S ribosomal RNA
Rfam family: Bacterial small subunit ribosomal RNA
Source: RNAcentral
CCUACGGGCGGCUGCCGUGAGGAAUAUUGGUCAAUGGGCGCGAGCCUGAACCAGCCAAGUAGCGUGAAGGAUGACUGCCCUAUGGGUUGUAAACUUCUUUUAUAAAGGAAUAAAGUGAGGCACGUGUGCCUUUUUGUAUGUACUUUAUGAAUAAGGAUCGGCUAACUCCGUGCCAGCAGCCGCGGUAAUACGGAGGAUCCGAGCGUUAUCCGGAUUUCUUGGGUUUAAAGGGAGCGUAGAUGGGUUGUUAAGUCAGUUGUGAAAGUUUGCGGCUCAACCGUAAAAUUGCAAUUGAUACUGGCAGUCUUGAGUACAGUAGAGGUCGGCGGAAUUCGUGGUGUAGCGGUGAAAUGCUUAGAUAGCACGAAGAACUCCGAUUGCGAAGGCAGCUUACUAAACUGCCACUGACAUUGAUGCUCGAAAGUGUGGGUAUCAAACAGGAUUAGAUACCCUUGUAGUC